Molecule: ribosomal RNA, 1125 nt
Filed under: Triticum aestivum (bread wheat)
Lineage: Eukaryota; Viridiplantae; Streptophyta; Magnoliopsida; Poales; Poaceae
Description: partial small subunit ribosomal RNA
Source: RNAcentral
AUGGGCGAUCGCAUCGCCGCCCCAAGGGUGUGUUUGGUUUCUGUCACUGAGUGGAACGGCACGGGUCGGUUCCGUUCCCAGACCCCAUUCCUGCGUUUGGAUUGUCAAAGGAACCAGAACCACUCGAUUCCAGGGAAUGGCAUAUUCGCUGUUUAUGCCGUUCCAAGCGCCCCAGAUUCUAGUGUAGUCCCCCCAAGCCCAAUGGUCGGAUGGUCGGAUGGUCGGGAGGAGUACAUAUCCGUUUAUCUGGAGUUGAUGAGCAAGUAUGUGGAGGCUUUGGCAUUCGUAGACCUGAGACUGAUCAACCAAGUCACUGGAGAUGCGUGUACAAUAUGUGCAGAGAACAGGGUGCCGAAUCAGUUCAGGUCUAGCAGCUUCGAAGAGGCUUCCUGGGGGCGUGAAAAGUUUAUCAGUAAACGUGCUUUGAAAGAUUCAGGGUAUAUCCGAGAUAACCGCCUUGUUAUUGAGUGUGUCAUUACUGUGGUACACGAACUAAGGGUGUCUGAAAACAAAGAAUCCUGCGAAAUUGAAGUCCCUCCCCCAAAUGCAUUAGAGCAUUUUGGCAAGAUGCUGAAGGAUAAGUCCAGAGCAGAUGUGACCUUCGAAGUUAGAGGAGAAAUGUUUCCUGCCCACAGGGCAGUGCUCUCUGCCAGGUCGCCAGUUUUCAAAGCGCAGCUAAGUGAACCCAUGAAGGAGAACAAGAUGCGGCACAUAACCGUUGAUCGCAUGGAACCGGUGGUUUUCGAGGCUCUGCUCCAUUUCGUUUACACUGAUUCUUUGCCUACAAUGGAUGAUCUUGACAGAUCUGAAAGAAAUGCCGUGGUCCAGCAUCUAUUUGCAGCAGCGGAUCAAUAUGGUCUAGAUAGGUUGAAGCUUAUGUGUGAACGCAUCUUGUGCCUGAACCUUGAUGUCAAUAAUGUGGAUGUUGUACUGCGUCUAGCUGAUCGAUACGACUGCCAGAAGCUCAAAGAAGCAUGUGUUGACUUUUUGGUUCCUUCAGAGAGAAUCGAUGCUGUUGUGGCAAGCCGAAUACGAGUCAAUAAAGUUGGUUUCUCCCUCUCCAUUAGCAGACUUGUGGGAGAAGAAUACUCGUCCCCCCAAACGUUCCUUUUAGAACAUGUGUAA